Molecule: ribosomal RNA, 253 nt
Filed under: uncultured bacterium
Lineage: Bacteria
Description: partial 16S ribosomal RNA
Rfam family: Bacterial small subunit ribosomal RNA
Source: RNAcentral
CACGUAGGGCGCACGCGUUGUCCGGAAUUACUGGGCGUAAAGGGCGCGUAGGCGGCCUUCUAAGUCGAACGUGAAAUCCCCGGGCUCAACCCGGGAACUGCGUCCGAUACUGGAAGGCUUGAAUCCGGGAGAGGGAUGCGGAAUUCCAGGUGUAGCGGUGAAAUGCGUAGAUAUCUGGAGGAACACCGGUGGCGAAGGCGGCAUCCUGGACCGGCAUUGACGCUGAGGCGCGAAAGCCAGGGGAGCAAACGGG